UGUUAGCUACAAGAAACAAAUGGUGGAUGUAGACUUGAAGAUGUUCCGUUUUGUCAUGUCAGAUGUACCAUGUCAGCCAAAUGACAAUGACUAUGGAGUAUUUAUUAUGAAAUUCAUGGACAACUGGUCAAAUGGAGGACUCUCCAAAUCCAUCGAUGUGGGCAAGACUAAGAAGUAUAAAUUAUAGAUAAUGGGGAGAUUGUUGCUUUCAUCACGUAAUGCACAUCGACAUCGAUUUAUGGCGGAUUGAGGUAGAUUGUUAAAUUGGAUGUGCCGAGGAUAUUUUCAGAUGAUUGUACAUUAUUUGCUCAAACAUAACUCUUUCCAAUGUAUUGCAAAUAUUAUGACAUAUAUAGAAGUUAGUGAUGAAUUCACAACUAAUGUUAACAACAGUAUGAUUCAUGUUUAAAGCAAGCAAGUUGAGUGUGGAAAAGCCAUUGGCUUCAAAUUUAUUCACAAAUGAA
Long non-coding RNA from Vitis riparia (riverbank grape), 464 nucleotides. RefSeq lists it as uncharacterized. The transcript is spliced from 3 exons. The record is from RefSeq and is a predicted model, not a curated record. Lineage: Eukaryota; Viridiplantae; Streptophyta; Magnoliopsida; Vitales; Vitaceae.